UGUUUUAUCACUUUUAUGACACAUUUGGAAUGGAUUUCCAUGGCAUAAAAUUCAUCUGUUCACUUCUUUCCAAUGUUUUAAAAACCGGAUCGGACCGGCCGGUGGCCUUCCCGGUUCGGUCACUUCCUCUAAACCGUUUAGCUAUUGAACAGGUCACAAACCUUUUGAACCGACGGUUCUUCAAGGACCGAACGGUUGAAUGACCCCCUUUUUCCGUUCAACUUGUUAACCUCUGAGUCUCCAGCGGCCUCCACCUCCAAUCCACCGGAAGGACGAUGCUGGUGACUGGCCGACGUCCACUGGCUUGGUGACUCUAUGUGGGAUGUGAGAGAAAAUUGGUAGUAAAAGAGAGAGAUUGUGAGCUAUAAGAGAGAGAUGAUGAGAUGAGAAGGAAGAAGGGGGGUGUUGGUCGAGGGUAGUGCCCGUAGUCGCAUCGCCGACGAUGGUUGACGAGAGUGGCAGCAGUGGGGGCCGAUGAUGACAAGUAGCAGUAGGUGUGGUGAGGGAAGAAAGAAGAAGGAAAAGAAAGAGAAGGGAGAGAGGGAUAAUGAGGGUUGCUCGUGGUAAUUACUAAUUAGGGUUAUUU
RNAcentral lists this long non-coding RNA (586 nucleotides) under Vitis vinifera (wine grape). Its description in RNAcentral is "long non-coding RNA (VVIN_LNC002081)". The record is from RNAcentral. Lineage: Eukaryota; Viridiplantae; Streptophyta; Magnoliopsida; Vitales; Vitaceae.